RNAcentral lists this ribosomal RNA (472 nucleotides) under uncultured bacterium. RNAcentral describes it as "partial 16S ribosomal RNA". It matches the Rfam family "Bacterial small subunit ribosomal RNA", at positions 28 to 507 of the family's 1533-position model. The record is from RNAcentral.
GACGAACGCUGGCGGCGUGCUUAACACAUGCAAGUCGAACGCUGAAGCUUGGUGCUUGCACUGGGUGGAUGAGUGGCGAACGGGUGAGUAAUACGUGAGUAACCUGCCCUUGACUCUGGGAUAAGCCUGGGAAACUGGGUCUAAUACUGGAUACGACAUGUCACCGCAUGGUGGUGUGUGGAAAGGGUUUUACUGGUUUUGGAUGGGCUCACGGCCUAUCAGCUUGUUGGUGGGGUAAUGGCUCACCAAGGCGACGACGGGUAGCCGGCCUGAGAGGGUGACCGGCCACACUGGGACUGAGACACGGCCCAGACUCCUACGGGAGGCAGCAGUGGGGAAUAUUGCACAAUGGGCGGAAGCCUGAUGCAGCGACGCCGCGUGAGGGAUGACGGCCUUCGGGUUGUAAACCUCUUUCAGCACGGAAGAAGCGAGAGUGACGGUACGUGCAGAAGAAGCGCCGGCUAACUACGUG